AAUAAAAUAUAUUGAUGUCCCCCCUCCCUUCUUACCUUUAUUGAGGAGGAGGGGGGACAUUUCUCCAUCCCUGGUGGUCCCAGUGGGAAUCCCUGGUGGUUCCAGUGUGGAGUGAAGUCUAGCUCGCGCUCCAGGGCUAGACUUCACUCUCGCGAGAUUUGGAGCGUUGCCAUGGUAAUGCUCCAAAUCUCGCGAGAGGAGGACCCGGAGGAGCUGCAGACUGAGCUCCCAGGUCCUCUCUCCCUCCCCUGCCGGCUGUCAGCAAUGUGCCUGCGGACC
This is a non-coding RNA of Pelobates cultripes (western spadefoot toad), 279 nucleotides long. The record is from the annotation of a GenBank genome assembly. NCBI's taxonomy places the organism in Eukaryota, Metazoa, Chordata, Amphibia, Anura, Pelobatidae.